AUGGGCGAUUUCAAUGAGAUUCUUUAUCCUUUUGAGAAAGAAGGGGGCAAUCCACGUCCUAGUCAUUUUAUGCAAGCAUUUAGAGAAGCCCUGACUGAUUGUAAUUUGGAUUGUGGAUAUGUUGGAGAAAAAUUUACGUGGCACCGUGGACGUAUCCAAGAAAGACUAGACCAAGCUCUGUCAAAUAAGGAGUGGAACCAGAAAUUUGGGAAUGCGGUUCUGAAAAAUAUGGACUACAGCAAGUCAGAUCACAGACCAAUACUUAUGAACACAGAACCAGAAUCAAUCGGCGAGCGGAGUGGGCCUACUGUGCUUAGAUUUGAAGCAAAGUGGCUUAAGGAGGCCCACUUCAGACAGGUUGUUCAAGAUGCUUGGGACCAGGCAGGAGCCCGCGGUUCAAACACAGACCUAGCGGGAAAACUAGCAUUGGUGCAUGAUCAGCUGCAUAAAUGGGAUCGGUCUGUGCUUCAGAAUACAAAGAAAAGAAUCUGUUCUGCCCAACGGGAGCUAGAAAGAGCAGCAAGUGGUCCUAUGAGUGACGAAAAUUGA
Molecule: ribosomal RNA, 549 nt
Filed under: Triticum aestivum (bread wheat)
Lineage: Eukaryota; Viridiplantae; Streptophyta; Magnoliopsida; Poales; Poaceae
Description: partial small subunit ribosomal RNA
Source: RNAcentral